AGACGCCCACACGCGAAAUCCAAGGGGCGGACACCAGCGCCGAGCACUCUGCGCUCAGGAAAUUUACCCGGUGAAGUGUCGAAAAGCCCCAACCCCUCCAGACAGGGUCCUCCCACCCCGGCGCUGGCCAUCCCGGCCCAGCCCUCCCGAGGCCCUGGGUACUCGCCUUGCGCGCGGGUCGCGGAGUUCUAAAAGCGAGUUCUAGGGUACAUGUGCAUAACGUGCAGGUUUGUUACAUAUGUAUACUUGUGCCAUGUUGCUGUGCUGCACGCAUCAACUCGUCAGCACCCAUCAACUCGUCAUUUACAUCAGGGUCUCACUUUGUCACCCAGGCUGGAGUGUAGUGGCGCGAUCUCUGCUCAUUGGAUCUCCUCCUCUGCGUCCAAGCUAUCCUCCCACAUCAGCCUUCCAAGUAGCUGGGAUUACAGACGCGCACCAUCAACCAAGCAAUUAAGGAAAGUGCAGACCUUAUUAUGAAAAUGAGAUAAUUGGUGAAGUGCCGAGAGAGGCUUCCCAGGAACCUGGGCCCUCGGGAUUCUUCAGUCAUCACCUUCACCCACACUACCUGCCCAAAAGCACCGUCUUUCCCUGGGGAGACUCUGAAGCAGCUCUGUCUUGCUAGAGAUACCAAAUAUCCAGUUCCUUUUGAACUUAACACCUCAUAGCCGACCUCAUUUCCACCAGGAAAGUUUUAUUGACAUUUUCCAAACCACGGGAACUAUUCCUUUGGAUUUCUAUAGCAUUUAUAGGAGGAAUUUUAUUUAUGUGGCUCUUUUCUGGCUUCGUUUUACGGGUGUGUGUGUGUGUGUUUUCUUUUCCCCUUUUCCCUCUCCAAAUUCUCACAUACUUCUCAUUUAUUUAUCUCUUUUUUUUUGUUUGUUUUUGUUUUUGUUUUCAACUGAGUACCGCUGUGUUGCCCAGGCUGGAGCGUGGAGGACUGUGGUGCGAUCUCAGCUCACUGCAGCCUCCGCCUUUUGGGUUCAAGCCAUUCUCCUGCCUCAGCCUCCUGAGUAGCUAAGAUUACAGCCAUGUACCACCACGCCCAGCUAAUUUUCAUAUUUUUAGUAGACGCAGGGUUUCACCAUGUUGGCCAGGGUGGUCUGAAACUCCUGGCAUCAAGUGAUUCGCCUGCCUCUGCCUCCCGAAAUGCUGAGAUUACAGGCGUGAGCCACCACGCCUGGCUCUAUUUUUAUCAUUGUAACCCAUCUAAACAAGGUGGGUUAUAAAUAAAUAUUAUUAGAUCAGUUAUGUCUGGGAGGUUCAAGCAUUGCUUUGUCCUCAAGUUACUUUGCUUGCUAGAUUUUAUAAACUAAUUGAGAAAUUGUCUUUCUCCCUCUUCGCAAAAAUAUCUUAGUUCUUUGAUUAUUAUUCACUCAUUUAUUGUUUAAAAAUUAUUAAUCUCUGUUUGGCAUUUUGAAAAUACAGUGGUUACCAAAUA
Molecule: long non-coding RNA, 1438 nt
Filed under: Macaca mulatta (Rhesus monkey)
Lineage: Eukaryota; Metazoa; Chordata; Mammalia; Primates; Cercopithecidae
Description: lncRNA (ENSMMUG00000049637.1)
Source: RNAcentral